CAACAUGUUUGCUAUUCAACAUGUUGGUUAUUCAGUCUCUAUUGGGCCAUGGGCCGUGCAGAUGUGCAAAUCUGUGUGAUUCUUUCUUUUAAAUUUCUGUUUAUUAGAGAGAUCAUGAUUCCUUUCCUGAUAUAUCUUAGGAUUUGAUUUAGACUCCUAGAAUCUCAGCCUGAUCCUAGUAUCUCGCCUAAUCCCUAAAAUCUCGGCCUAAUCACCUUAUUCGUUGAGGGAAUUGUAUCUAUUUAAGUCUACUAUUCUAUUCGAAUAAAGUACAGCUUCAGAAUCAUUAGAU
Neltuma alba is the source of this 292-nucleotide long non-coding RNA. RefSeq lists it as uncharacterized. The record is from RefSeq and is a predicted model, not a curated record. The transcript has 4 exons. NCBI's taxonomy places the organism in Eukaryota, Viridiplantae, Streptophyta, Magnoliopsida, Fabales, Fabaceae.